GACGAACGCUGGCGGCGUGCUUAACACAUGCAAGUCGAACGGAAAGGCCCUGCUUUUGUGGGGUGCUCGAGUGGCGAACGGGUGAGUAACACGUGAGUAACCUGCCCUUGACUUUGGGAUAACUUCAGGAAACUGGGGCUAAUACCGGAUAGGAGCUCCUGCUGCAUGGUGGGGGUUGGAAAGUGUCGGCGGUUGGGGCUGGACUCGCGGCUUAUCAGCUUGUUGGUGGGGUAGUGGCUUACCAAGGCUUUGACGGCUAGCCGGCCUGGGAGGGUGGACGGCCACAUGGGGACUGAGGUAGGGACCAGAAUGCUACGGGAGGCAGCGGUGGGGAGUAUUGCGCAGUGGGCGGAAGCCUGAUGCAGCAGCGCCGCGAGCGGGAUGACGGCCUUCGGGGUGUGAACCGCUUUGGCCUGUGACGAAGCGUGAGUGACGGUAAUGGGUAAGGAAGCACCGGCUAACUACGUG
Molecule: ribosomal RNA, 468 nt
Filed under: uncultured bacterium
Lineage: Bacteria
Description: partial 16S ribosomal RNA
Rfam family: Bacterial small subunit ribosomal RNA
Source: RNAcentral